RNAcentral lists this ribosomal RNA (253 nucleotides) under uncultured bacterium. Its description in RNAcentral is "partial 16S ribosomal RNA". It matches the Rfam family "Bacterial small subunit ribosomal RNA", at positions 524 to 776 of the family's 1533-position model. The record is from RNAcentral.
UACGUAGGGCGCAAGCGUUGUCCGGGAUUAUUGGGCGUAAAGAGCUCGUAGGCGGUUUGUCGCGUCGGAUGUGAAAGCCCGGGGCUUAACCCCGGGUCUGCAUUCGAUACGGGCAGACUGGAGUGUGGUAGGGGAGAUCGGAAUUCCUGGUGUAGCGGUGAAAUGCGCAGAUAUCAGGAGGAACACCGGUGGCGAAGGCGGAUCUCUGGGCCAUUACUGACGCUGAGGAGCGAAAGCGUGGGGAGCGAACAGG